RNAcentral lists this small nuclear RNA (195 nucleotides) under Carlito syrichta (Philippine tarsier). Its description in RNAcentral is "U2 spliceosomal RNA (ENSTSYG00000021794.2)". It matches the Rfam family "U2 spliceosomal RNA". From Rfam's summary of the family: U2 is a small nuclear RNA (snRNA) component of the spliceosome (involved in pre-mRNA splicing). Complementary binding between U2 snRNA (in an area lying towards the 5' end but 3' to hairpin I) and the branchpoint sequence (BPS) of the intron results the bulging out of an unpaired adenosine, on the BPS, which initiates a nucleophilic attack at the intronic 5' splice site, thus starting the first of two transesterification reactions that mediate splicing. The record is from Rfam by way of RNAcentral. Lineage: Eukaryota; Metazoa; Chordata; Mammalia; Primates; Tarsiidae.
AUCGUUCCUCAGCCUUUUGGCUAAGAUCAAGUGUAGUAGUAUCUGUUUUUAUUCGUUUACUAUCUGAUGUGUCCUCUCUUCAAGGGCAACAUAUUAAAUGAAUUUUUGGAGCAAGGAGUUGGAAUAGGAGCUUGCUCUGUCUCUUUCCACACAUUGACCUGGUAUUGCAGUACCUCUAGGAAUGGUGUAUCCCUU